This 106-nucleotide small nucleolar RNA is filed under the name Helianthus annuus (common sunflower). Its description in RNAcentral is "Plant small nucleolar RNA R71". It matches the Rfam family "Plant small nucleolar RNA R71". Rfam says of the family: R71 is a member of the C/D box family of snoRNAs containing the C (UGAUGA) and D (CUGA) box motifs. Multiple nearly identical copies of this snoRNA have been identified in Arabidopsis, and it is thought to function as a 2'-O-ribose methylation guide for 18S ribosomal RNA. The record is from RNAcentral. Lineage: Eukaryota; Viridiplantae; Streptophyta; Magnoliopsida; Asterales; Asteraceae.
AUUCCAUGAUGCGGACAAUUUUUGAUCAUCAUGUUUAAGCGGUCAAAUGCUUCAUGAAACAUUUCGCCUUGUUGUUGUUGGAAACUUCUCAACCCUUUCCUCGCAU